UGAGUAACACGCUAUCCAACCUGCCGAUAACUCGGNGAUAGCCUUUCGAAAGAAAGAUUAAUACCCGAUGGNAUAAUCAGACCGCANGGUCUNAUUAUUAAAGAAUUUCGGUUAUCGAUGGGGAUGCGUUCCAUUAGGCAGUUGGUGAGGUAACGGCUCACCAAACCUUCGAUGGAUAGGGGUUCUGAGAGGAAGGUCCCCCACAUUGGAACUGAGACACGGUCCAAACUCAUACGGGAGGCAGCAGUGAGGAAUAUUGGUCAAUGGGCGCAGGCCUGAACCAGCCAAGUAGCGUGAAGGAUGACUGCCCUAUGGGUUGUAAACUUCUUUUAUAUGGGAAUAAAGUUUUCCACGUGUGGAAUUUUGUAUGUACCAUAUGAAUAAGGAUCGGCUAACUCCGUGCCAGCAGCCGCGGUAAUACGGAGGAUCCGAGCGUUAUCCGGAUUUAUUGGGUUUAAAGGGAGCGUAGGUGGACAGUUAAGUCAGUUGUGAAAGUUUGCGGCUCAACCGUAAAAUUGCAGUUGAUACUGGCUGUCUUGAGUACAGUAGAGGUGGGCGGAAUUCGUGGUGUAGCGGUGAAAUGCUUAGAUAUCACGAAGAACUCCGAUUGCGAAGGCAGCUCACUGGACUGCAACUGACACUGAUGCUCGAAAGUGUGGGUAUCAAACAGGAUUAGAUACCCUGGUAGUCCACACAGUAAACGAUGAAUACUCGCUGUUUGCGAUAUACAGUAAGCGGCCAAGCGAAAGCAUUAAGUAUUCCACCUGGGGAGUACGCCGGCAACGGUGAAACUCAAAGGAAUUGACGGGGGCCCGCACAAGCGGAGGAACAUGUGGUUUAAUUCGAUGAUACGCGAGGAACCUUACCCGGGCUUAAAUUGCAUUUGAAUANUNUGGAAACAGNNUAGCCGCAAGGCAAAUGUGAAGGUGCUGCAUGGUUGUCGUCAGCUCGUGCCGUGAGGUGUCGGCUUAAGUGCCAUAACGAGCGCAACCCUUAUCUUUAGUUACUAACAGGUCAUGCUGAGGACUCUAGAGAGACUGCCGUCGUAAGAUGUGAGGAAGGUGGGGAUGACGUCAAAUCAGCACGGCCCUUACGUCCGGGGCUACACACGUGUUACAAUGGGGGGUACAGAAGGCAGCUACCUGGUGACAGGAUGCUAAUCCCAAAAGCCUCUCUCAGUUCGGAUCGAAGUCUGCAACCCGACUUCGUGAAGCUGGAUUCGCUAGUAAUCGCGCAUCAGCCAUGGCGCGGUGAAUACGUUCCCGGGCCUUGUACACACCGCCCGUCAAGCCAUGAAAGCCGGGGGUACCUGAAGUACGUACCGCAA
This 1327-nucleotide ribosomal RNA is filed under the name bacterium NLAE-zl-P848. RNAcentral describes it as "16S ribosomal RNA". It matches the Rfam family "Bacterial small subunit ribosomal RNA", at positions 107 to 1438 of the family's 1533-position model. The record is from RNAcentral.